AGGAUUGGCUCUGAGGGCUG
Molecule: small nuclear RNA, 20 nt
Filed under: Arabidopsis thaliana (thale cress)
Lineage: Eukaryota; Viridiplantae; Streptophyta; Magnoliopsida; Brassicales; Brassicaceae
Description: snRNA_17328
Source: RNAcentral